RNAcentral lists this ribosomal RNA (1035 nucleotides) under Triticum aestivum (bread wheat). RNAcentral's name for it is "partial small subunit ribosomal RNA". Lineage: Eukaryota; Viridiplantae; Streptophyta; Magnoliopsida; Poales; Poaceae. The record is from RNAcentral.
AUGUUGUACGGCACUCUUGUGCUAGAGCUGGUUUACCUGGGCGUGCAAACAGCUCUCCGAGACAAGUUCUCCGGCAGAAUUCGACAACAUAGCCUUAUUGGAUUACUAACCGAUAACACAUGGCGCUACAAGUUCAGGGCCUUCGGGCUGGGCAAGGUUGCCGAAUUGUUACAAUGCAAGGAUUCGAUGGACCAAUACUUGACGUACAUGAAAUCUAGCUAUUUGUGUGAGGAUAUUACAGAAUUGGUCCGCCAGCAUGUUGAAUCGGGGUGGAAGGACAUACAUGACAAUGAGACUUACAGGAAGUUUAACGAUGCCAGGGGCGAAUGGACGCUCCGCCGUAAGAAAUGUCUCCCGCAACUGGGUUGGAGCUUACAGAGGCCAUUUGAUGAGACCAUUAUUCUCUGGCACCAGGCGACAGAUAUAUGCCUUCGGUCCAAGGCCAUGUCUCGUGGUGAUCUGGAAUGUGCCCGUCAGUGCGAAGUAAUAUCCAACUACAUGAUGCAUCUGUUGUUUGCUAAUCCUGAGAUGCUAAUGCCAGGCAGCAGAAAGAGCUUGGUCACAAAGGCCUCCGACGAAGUCAAGAACAUCCUCAGCAAAUCCAGGAACGAGAUGGAAUUUAUAGGGACAAUAACUGGCAAAUGCAACGAAGGUUCUGCUCCCGACCUUUUUAUUCACGACGCUUCGGUGCUUGCUAGAAGCUUGUCAGGUGAUGAACUUGAUGAUCAUGGUGAUGUCACCAGGAAGUGGGAGGUGAUCCAAGGCGUGUGGGUGGAGAUGCUCUGCUUUUCUGCCGGCCGGUGCCGAGGAUACUUGCACGCGCAGGCCCUGGGGACUGGUGUGGAGUAUCUCUCCUAUGUCUGGGUCCUUUUGGCGUACACCGGGAUGGAGACAUUUCCGGAAAAGCUUCAGAGGAGGGAGGGUCAGACGGUUGACGGCGAGUCUUCUCUUCAUGGCGGAAGAGAAGAUCCCGCUGCUACUACUACAUCUGCUUCCGGAAGUGAAGACUGGGCGCAUGUCGCCCUUGACGUGUGA